Chlorocebus sabaeus (green monkey) is the source of this 269-nucleotide non-coding RNA. It matches the Rfam family "Metazoan signal recognition particle RNA". From Rfam's summary of the family: The signal recognition particle (SRP) is a universally conserved ribonucleoprotein. It is involved in the co-translational targeting of proteins to membranes. NCBI's taxonomy places the organism in Eukaryota, Metazoa, Chordata, Mammalia, Primates, Cercopithecidae. The record is from Rfam.
GCCGGGCGCGGUGGCUCAAGCCUGUAAUCCCAGCUACUUGGGGGGCUGAGGCAGGAGAAUCGCUUGAACCUGGGAGGCGGAGGUUGCAGUGAGCCGAGGUCAUGCCACUACCCCCCAGAGGGAAACGCUAUCUCAAAAAAAAAAAAAAAAAGNNNNNNNNNNCUUUUUUUUUUUUUUUUUGAGAUAGCGUUUCCCUCUGGGGGGUAGUGGCAUGACCUCGGCUCACUGCAACCUCCGCCUCCCAGGUUCAAGCGAUUCUCCUGCCUCAG